Molecule: small nucleolar RNA, 134 nt
Organism: Mandrillus leucophaeus (drill)
Lineage: Eukaryota; Metazoa; Chordata; Mammalia; Primates; Cercopithecidae
Gene: SNORA70
Rfam family: Small nucleolar RNA SNORA70
About the family: snoRNA U70 seems to be exclusive to mammals and is a member of the H/ACA class of snoRNA which contain H (ANANNA) and ACA box motifs.
Source: Ensembl
CUGCAGCCAAUUAAGCCGACUGAGUUCCUUUCCUCAUGGGGGCCCAGUGUGCAAUGGCUGCAAACAGCAGCUUCCCUGGUAGUGAUGCAGCCUGUUUGUUGUAUGGGUUGCUCUAAAGGACCUUGGAGACAGUC